GGUGCAGUGACCUAACCCAAGGCUCAGGAAACUACCCAGGGGAACCACAAACACUUCUACGAGAGCCUUAUGAAAUAGAGGGACUGUUACGACUAUUUCCAUAAGCCACAUAGAAGGUAAAUCAGGUUCUAGUUAGUGUUUUCCCUGUCCAUGGCGCAGAGACCUACCGCCAGCCUCAGGAAACUACCCAGGGGAACCACAAUCACUUCUACGAGAGCCUUGUGAAAUAGAAAGAGUGGAAUGUCGAGGCGUUUGAGGAUAUGCGUCCAGGACUAUGUAGGAUGCGCAGCUGAGGUCCUACCAACGCGCAAGCCAGCCAUUCCUCCAACACUAGGAAGUUAUGGUAAAAGUUCUCACCUCCAUCUUUGUGUUCUGAGAGGCGCAGCGUGUACAUGGUUUAUACGCACACACAUACAUACACACAUACAUACAUCCAUAGAGGAGACAUUUUGGGUGUUUACUGUAUACUGAAGUGAUGUUUUUUUUUUAUAUAUAUUUAAAGUGACUGUGGUUUUAACUGUUGGUGAAAUGCUUACUUUGUAUAAUCUAGUUUUGUUAUUUAUGUAUUAUAUUGCUUCUAUUUUUUGUGCUAUUUAUAUUUACAUUUGUGGGUUAAGUUAUUUACAGGCUUUUGUUUAAUCUUAAAGUUCCUAUCUCCGAAAAGUGCUUUGAUAUAUAUUGUUAAGUGUUGACUAUUUCUAUUUUCUUGGAUUUUUAUAACUUUGGGACAAUAAUAAUGACAGUAAUAAUGAUAAAAUAGAUAAUGAAGAUAUAAAUAACUCCCAUUAAUGACCAAAUUGUCCACAAAAAUAAUAUAAAAAUCAGUGAAUUCGAAAACAUUUUACCUGGUUCAAAUUUACUUUUUUUCUAAUUUCCACUUUAAUAAAAAAAUCAAAUUAACAACAACAAAAAAAA
This is a long non-coding RNA of Eriocheir sinensis (Chinese mitten crab), 915 nucleotides long. RefSeq lists it as uncharacterized. The transcript is spliced from 2 exons. NCBI's taxonomy places the organism in Eukaryota, Metazoa, Arthropoda, Malacostraca, Decapoda, Varunidae. The record is from RefSeq and is a predicted model, not a curated record.